Molecule: long non-coding RNA, 309 nt
Filed under: Hordeum vulgare
Lineage: Eukaryota; Viridiplantae; Streptophyta; Magnoliopsida; Poales; Poaceae
Description: long non-coding RNA (HVUL_LNC008879)
Source: RNAcentral
UCCGAGGGUCUGUUUUAGCGUUAUACUUACCAUUCACCAAAACUGCUAUAGUAUCUAAAUAGUCGAAGAACUGAAGAGCAAUGAUCCGAUUUGUCAUUCCUUUUUUUUAACAGAGACAAACCUCAUAUAUUGUAUUAAUUAAGAGGAGAAUAGAUUUUCAUAAACUAUUCUUAGAACAUCUAAAGCCGGACCCCUCAAAUCCGUUUCAUACGUCCGAACAGGCCGCCACCGCGCCACAUCAUCGCUCAUGAAAAUUCGAUCUAGACGGGCUUUUUAAACAGGCCUCAAACGACCGGGCUGACCGACACC